UACGGAAAAAAGGGGUGCCUCACGAGGCGUUGCCCGGAGGCUGAGAUUACACCCGUCGAACCUGAUACGGUCAGUACCGUCGUAGGGACUUUUCGAGUGCUUUGC
RNAcentral lists this non-coding RNA (105 nucleotides) under Alistipes sp. CAG:831. RNAcentral describes it as "TPP riboswitch aptamer (THI element)". It matches the Rfam family "TPP riboswitch aptamer (THI element)". From Rfam's summary of the family: Vitamin B(1) in its active form thiamin pyrophosphate (TPP) is an essential coenzyme that is synthesised by coupling of pyrimidine and thiazole moieties in bacteria. The record is from Rfam by way of RNAcentral. RNAcentral also lists the same sequence under 1 other name. Lineage: Bacteria; Pseudomonadati; Bacteroidota; Bacteroidia; Bacteroidales; Rikenellaceae.